GACGAACGCUGGCGGCGUGCUUAACACAUGCAAGUCGAACGGAAAGGCCCUGCUUUUGUGGGGUGCUCGAGUGGCGAACGGGUGAGUAACACGUGAGUAACCUGCCCUUGACUUUGGGAUAACUUCAGGAAACUGGGGCUAAUACCGGAUAGGAGCUCCUGCUGCAUGGUGGGGGUUGGAAAGUUUCGGCGGUUGGGGAUGGACUCGCGGCUUAUCAGCUUGUUGGUGGGGUAGUGGCUUACCAAGGCUUUGACGGGUAGCCGGCCUGAGAGGGUGACCGGGCACAUUGGGACUGAGGUACGGCCCAGACGCGUACGGGAGGCAGCAGGGGGGAGUAUUGCACAAUGGGCGGAAGUCUGAUGCAACAGUGCCGCGUGCGGAAUGACGGCCUUCGGGUUGUAAACCGCUUUCGCCUGUGACGAAGCGUGAGUGACGGUAAUGGGUAAAGAAGCACCGGCUAACUACGUG
RNAcentral lists this ribosomal RNA (468 nucleotides) under uncultured bacterium. Its description in RNAcentral is "partial 16S ribosomal RNA". It matches the Rfam family "Bacterial small subunit ribosomal RNA", at positions 28 to 507 of the family's 1533-position model. The record is from RNAcentral.